UGGGGAAUAUUGCACAAUGGGCGAAAGCCUGAUGCAGCAACGCCGCGUGAGUGAUGAAGGCCUUCGGGUUGUAAAGCUCUGUCUUUUGGGACGAUAAUGACGGUACCAAAGGAGGAAGCCACGGCUAACUACGUGCCAGCAGCCGCGGUAAUACGUAGGUGGCGAGCGUUGUCCGGAUUUACUGGGCGUAAAGGAUGCGUAGGCGGAUUUUUAAGUGAGAUGUGAAAUACCCGGGCUUAACUUGGGUGCUGCAUUUCAAACUGGAAGUCUAGAGUGCGGGAGAGGAGAGUGGAAUUCCUAGUGUAGCGGUGAAAUGCGUAGAGAUUAGGAAGAACACCAGUGGCGAAGGCGACUCUCUGGACCGUAACUGACGCUGAGGCAUGAAAGCGUGGGUAGCAAACAGGAUUAGAUACCCUGGUAGUCCACGCCGUAAACGAUGAGUACUAGGUGUAGGAGGUAUCGACCCCUUCUGUGCCGCAGUUAACACAAUAAGUACUCCGCCUGGGAAGUACGAUCGCAAGAUUAAAACUCAAAGGAAUGGACGG
Molecule: ribosomal RNA, 545 nt
Filed under: Clostridium sp. enrichment culture clone M4C10
Lineage: Bacteria; Bacillati; Bacillota; Clostridia; Eubacteriales; Clostridiaceae
Description: bacterial SSU rRNA
Rfam family: Bacterial small subunit ribosomal RNA
Source: RNAcentral